GUCACCAAUCCCCCUCGGGAUCCACCAGCGCCCAAUCCCCUCACAGCCUCCACCUUCUCCUUGUUUUUCCCUCCUGUCCAACCACCAUCGCCCCGCCCAAAUCCUGUAGGAGCCCGAGCUCCUCUGCCCGUCGCCCCUCUCCUGCAGCCGCCCGAGCACCGGCCAGCUCCCUGGAGCUCACCACCAGCACCGCAGAACUCGUAUGACUCCAGCAACACCCCACGGGAGUUGGAGCAGCCAUGGCACCCGAACGCCUCAAGUUCGUCAGCCCCACCGAUGGAAUUUGUCUAGUGCCCGAGCCUCCUCCCGUUGCAGCCAGCUUGGCCGCCGACUAAAGCCCCAGGUCACGCACCGUCAGGAACGCCAUGGAGCAUCGCCGCCGUCCUAAACCAUCCAGAGCUCGCCUCCGUUCUGUUCCCGACCUCGUCAUCUCCGGAUCUGCCCAUCCCCGUCUCCUGUAGCUCUUCUCUUCGUCGGCUCCGCUGAGGUCCGUCACCGCCGUUGCCCUCUAGCUCGAUUUUGAGCUUUGCCUCCAGUCGCCUGCUCGAUCCCCUGCAUCGACCACGCACGCGUGUGCGCAAGCGCCGCAAGGCCAGUGGCGCCCAGCUUCUUCCGCUUUCGUAGCCA
Molecule: long non-coding RNA, 627 nt
Organism: Triticum aestivum (bread wheat)
Lineage: Eukaryota; Viridiplantae; Streptophyta; Magnoliopsida; Poales; Poaceae
Exons: 3
Source: RefSeq, a predicted model, not a curated record